GGUAUGUAAAGCUCUAUCAGCAGGGAAGAUAAUGACGGUACCUGACUAAGAAGCCCCGGCUAACUACGUGCCAGCAGCCGCGGUAAUACGUAGGGGGCAAGCGUUAUCCGGAUUUACUGGGUGUAAAGGGAGCGUAGACGGCAUGGCAAGUCUGAAGUGAAAACCCAGGGCUCAACCCUGGGACUGCUUUGGAAACUGUCAAGCUAGAGUGCAGGAGAGGUAAGUGGAAUUCCUAGUGUAGCGGUGAAAUGCGUAGAUAUUAGGAGGAACACCAGUGGCGAAGGCGGCUUACUGGACUGUAACUGACGUUGAGGCUCGAAAGCGUGGGGAGCAAACAGGAUUAGAUACCCUGGUAGUCCACGCCGUAAA
Molecule: ribosomal RNA, 369 nt
Filed under: uncultured bacterium
Lineage: Bacteria
Description: bacterial SSU rRNA
Rfam family: Bacterial small subunit ribosomal RNA
Source: RNAcentral